Molecule: long non-coding RNA, 442 nt
Organism: Anoplopoma fimbria (sablefish)
Lineage: Eukaryota; Metazoa; Chordata; Actinopteri; Perciformes; Anoplopomatidae
Exons: 3
Source: RefSeq, a predicted model, not a curated record
CUGAUUGAGGACACGCCUCCCUAUGAUUGAGCACACCUUUUUAUUAUCACCCAUGCCUGUGGAGCUGUUUUUCUCCCUCAAUAUCCUGAAGAAGACUGUCAUGUCAAAAGACUGACACCGAGGGAAACAGGAACUUGGCCGACAGCGGUGACCUACUGGUGUGAGACAUAAACAACACGAACAAGACUAAAACAAAUCGGACAGGGCUAAAGGACUCUCAGACGUUCCAGGAGACGAAGGAGCUGGAGUGAUCCGUGGAAAAGCAGGAGCAGACAAUUUUGAGUCAGCUGAGUCAACAAGGAGACAAGUAAAGGAAGUAAACCUGGAUGUGAGUGAAAGAGGACUGACAAGGAAGGAGGAAGUGUGACGGCCGGUCAAAGAAAUGUGGUCGGUUACACACAAACAAUGACUGUUACCACUCGGACUCUAAAGGAAGGUAAAC